CCUACGGGAGGCAGCAGUGGGGGAUAUUGCACAAUGGGGGGAACCCUGAUGCAGCGACGCCGCGUGGGUGAAGAAGCGCCUCGGCGCGUAAAGCCCUGUCAGCAGGGAAGAAAAUGACGGUACCUGACGAAGAAGCCCCGGCUAACUACGUGCCAGCAGCCGCGGUAAUACGUAGGGGGCAAGCGUUCUCCGGAUUUAAUGGGUGUAAAGGGGGCGCAGACGGCGAUGCAAGCCAGGAGUGAAAGCCCGGGGCCCAACCCCGGGACUGCUCUUGGAACUGCGUGGCUGGAGUGCAGGAGGGGCAGGCGGAAUUCCUGGUGUAGCGGUGAAAUGCGUAGAUAUCAGGAGGAACACCGGUGGCGAAGGCGGCCUGCUGGACUGCAACUGACGUUGAGGCCCGAAAGCGUGGGGAGCAAACAGGAUUAGAGACCCUAGUAGUC
Molecule: ribosomal RNA, 440 nt
Filed under: uncultured bacterium
Lineage: Bacteria
Description: partial 16S ribosomal RNA
Rfam family: Bacterial small subunit ribosomal RNA
Source: RNAcentral